GAUGAAGAACGUAGCGAAAUGCGAUACUUGGUGUGAAUUGCAGAAUCCCGUGAACCAUCGAGUCUUUGAACGCAAGUUGCGCCCGAAGCCACUAGGCCGAGGGUACGCCUGCCUGGGCGUCACACGUCGUUGCCCCCCCCCCCAUCUACUCCUUCGGGAUUGCGGGGGGCGGAUGAUGGCCUCCCGUGCGCCUAGCCGCGCGGUUGGCAUAAAUACCAAGUCCUCGGCGACGCACGCCACGACAAUCGGUGGUUGCGAAACCUCGGUUGCCCGUCGUGUGCGUUCGUCGCGCAUCGAGGGCUCGAAAAAAUGCUCGGCUCCGGCUCGGCUUUCAACGCGACCCCAGGUCAGGCGGGGUUACCCGCUGAAUUUAAGCAUAUCAAUAAGCGGAGGA
Molecule: unclassified non-coding RNA, 394 nt
Filed under: soil metagenome
Description: partial contains 5.8S ribosomal RNA, internal transcribed spacer 2, and large subunit ribosomal RNA
Rfam family: 5.8S ribosomal RNA (bases 1-122)
Source: RNAcentral